Molecule: ribosomal RNA, 251 nt
Filed under: uncultured bacterium
Lineage: Bacteria
Description: partial 16S ribosomal RNA
Rfam family: Bacterial small subunit ribosomal RNA
Source: RNAcentral
ACGUAGGGAGCGAGCGUUAUCCGGAUUUAUUGGGUGUAAAGGGUGCGUAGACGGGAAAUUAAGUUAGUUGUGAAAUCCCUCGGCUUAACUGAGGAACUGCAACUAAAACUGGUUUUCUUGAGUGCUGGAGAGGAAAGUGGAAUUCCUAGUGUAGCGGUGAAAUGCGUAGAUAUUAGGAGGAACACCAGUGGCGAAGGCGACUUUCUGGACAGUAACUGACGUUGAGGCACGAAAGUGUGGGGAGCAAACAG